This 222-nucleotide long non-coding RNA is filed under the name Elaeis guineensis (African oil palm). RNAcentral's name for it is "long non-coding RNA (EGUI_LNC007443)". The record is from RNAcentral. Lineage: Eukaryota; Viridiplantae; Streptophyta; Magnoliopsida; Arecales; Arecaceae.
CCAACUUGAUCAAAUCAAGUGGCGCCCAAUCAAAACUAUCAAAAAAAUUAAUUAAGAGCUUGAACCCUUAAUUCAUUUGAUCCAAAAUUCUAGGCACCCAACAAUUGAAGCCCAAUGAAUCUAAUUCAUUUUGGUUAUUAGUAGGUAAUUAAAUUUGAAUUAAUCUUAUCAAAUAAAAAAUUUAAAUGUAAAGAAAAAAUUGCGUCCAACCAUAUGCUGGUA